This 490-nucleotide ribosomal RNA is filed under the name uncultured bacterium. RNAcentral describes it as "partial 16S ribosomal RNA". It matches the Rfam family "Bacterial small subunit ribosomal RNA", at positions 30 to 507 of the family's 1533-position model. The record is from RNAcentral.
AUUGAACGCUGGCGGCAUGCCUUACACAUGCAAGUCGAACGGCAGCAUGAUCUAGCUUGCUAGAUUGAUGGCGAGUGGCGCACGGGUGAGUAAUACAUCGGAACGUGCCCUGUUGUGGGGGAUAACUAGUCGAAAGAUUAGCUAAUACCGCAUACGACCUGAGGGUGAAAGUGGGGGACCGCAAGGCCUCAUGCUAUAGGAGCGGCCGAUGUCUGAUUAGCUAGUUGGUGAGGUAAAGGCUCACCAAGGCGACGAUCAGUAGCUGGUCUGAGAGGACGAUCAGCCACACUGGGACUGAGACACGGCCCAGACUCCUACGGGAGGCAGCAGUGGGGAAUUUUGGACAAUGGGCGAAAGCCUGAUCCAGCAAUGCCGCGUGUGUGAAGAAGGCCUUCGGGUUGUAAAGCACUUUUGUCCGGAAAGAAAUGGCUCUGGUUAAUACCUGGGGUCGAUGACGGUACCGGAAGAAUAAGGACCGGCUAACUACGUG